CUACGCGCCGCCACCGCACUCCACCACAACUCUCCGACGUCCUUUCUCCGCUCUCACCCUUCCAACAUCCUUAUUUCAAACCCCCACUUGUUCUCCACCUUCCUUCACCGCCGCGUCCCUCCACGCGCCACCGCGUUUCCCAACCCUUUAAACCUCAGCAUUUCAAAUCACCACUUGCUCUCCCGGAGCCUGCACACACACGCCACCACUCUUCACAAGCGUCGAAGAACUUUCCACAUCUUGGAUUACGCUCUAGCCUUCGGUUGCAUUGCAGCAGCAGGAGGGAUAAUACAUUUGUACAACAAUCUAGAAAAACCAAGAAUGUUCGCAACCGUAACUGAUAAUCAGGAGAUGAGGUUUCACGGCUUAAUACCACACAUGUACCGUAAGGGGCACUACCUAGUCGUCGAGGGUCUGACUCGACCCAUUAAGGGGAACAAAUUUAGUAAUGCAGCUGCUAAAACUGUUGGAGCCAAAUAUCAUUAUGAACUCUAUUUGUCAGCUACCGAGGUGUUAGCGCAGCCUGAUCAUGUUGUCACCGCCUUGCAAAGGAAUUACACCAUUCUUGCAGUGAAGCAGAUAUAUUCCAAGGACAACGAUGAAAUUCUUGCAACAACUAAUCGGUGCUCGUCUGAAAUUUAAUCGUAUUUUCAGUUUAUUAAUGUCUUUCUCAGUUUUUUAUAUUGUCAUUUUGUUUGUGACUUUGAUAUGUUUUGAUUUAGGCUUAUUUCUUUCUGUGGCGGAAUUGGAAUCUCAACCCCUGUUGAUGAAUUGUCCAAGUCCGAGUCUAAAAGAACUGUGUUCAAUUUAGACUCAGCAAAACAUUCUUCCAAAAUUACUCAAGUUGUUUCAAUAAUGUUGGAUGAGUUUGAAGACUUGCCAAAAUUGUUGGGAGAAGGACACUCGAUUUUUAUUAAGGGUCUUACCAACGUACCUUUGAAUUCGAUUAAGUUUGACGGGACUAACAAAAUUUGGUCAGGCGAAUGGAAUGAAGAUAAUUGGCCUACAAAAGUGAAUCGCAAAACUAAACAAAUGGGAUCAGUCAUGCUAGCUGAGGCAAUAGCGAAAGACGAUAAGAGGUAUAUGCCACGCGAAGCUGCUGCUACUGCAAUUGAGCGGAAUAAUUCGGGGUAACAGAAAGGCUGCCGCAGAUCCUAUCAAAUACUUUUAAGAAACUUUAGAAAUGUUACAUGUCCCGGAUCUUUGCAGUUAUUUUAAUUGUGUCUAUUCUCUAAUAUUUGGUAUUUGCACAAAGACUUCCAAGCUUGAUUGUACUUGGUAAGAUUUCUUUAACUCUGUCAUAUAGUAAACAGUUAUACGUAUAAACAAAGCAUUUCUCAGCAUUAUUUGCAAAUUCAGUGUCCAUAAUUUUAAAAAUCGUGGAUUUUACUGAUUAGUCGAUACAAUAUAUUCCGCUGAUUUCAUUUUUCAAUCCGAUUAAUCAUACCUAAAAUUAAUAUAUUAGGUCUAACAAAUUUAUUAUUAUUAUUAUUUUAAUACAUCAAAUUGAUGUUUCGAUUCAUUAUUUUAAUUAAUCUCUAACUUUUCUUUUUGCAUGCUAAUACCUUGUAAAAGAUAAACGCUUCAGGCAUGAUAAUAAGGCUGCAUGUGUACACUGCCACUUUCAUGAAUGUAUGCACAAAAUAGUUGGCUCUUCAAAGUUCAAACCUAGGUUUCAUCACAAUUCACGUAUGUCCGUAUGAUACGAAUCGUAUCAAGAGUAAAGUUGGGUAGAAAAUUAAGGAAAAUGUUUGGUGCACUUAAUUGUGUACAAAAUUUUGUAAAUAAUGACCUGUGGUGAGUUUUGAAUGGAAUGAACAUCGUGUAUUCACAUCAAUCAUCCCAAUUAAAACAUUCCACCUCAAUUGUCACAUCAUUAUUUACAAAUUUUAUGUACACAAUUAUAUGCACCUAGCACUACUCGAAAAUUAAAUGACUAAAAUCCAGCCCCACAGGCUAGCACCUUGGUUUGCUUAAAAAUCGUAAUCUCUGGGGUUCGUUUUCAUGUAAAUUGUAAGCUAGUAUAUCGUCAACUUUUCUUUGAAUUGGUAAAUUUGUAAUUUCACCCUGGAAGACCUAAAAACUGGUCAGGACCAUUUUAAAAGCGCUUAACGUGUAGAGAACUUGUUUUAAUGUGGACCCUUGGAUGUUCGAUCCCAUGGCUAGACAACUCCAAAUGUUUGAAUGUUUACGGUUAGGAUGCAAUUUGUGUCCCCAUCUCGUGUUUACAAGAAUGCAAUUUCCAUGUUUCAACGUCUUUUAACCCCUCUGGCUUAUAUACGGAGUAUUCUUUUGUAUCAAAUUUUGAGACAGCCUUAACCUAAGAGCAACUCCAAUACAAUGCUAUACUUGAUUCUAUUGCUAUAUUAUAGCAUCAAAAGUAAAAAAACUCAACUCCAAAGUGGUGCUAUAUUUGGAUGCAUCCAUGCAUAGAUGCAUCCUUGGUUCUAUAUUUUAUUUAUAGAAGUUAGGUAAAAGUUAAUGAGUUGGUUAAAUUUGAAAUUAGUUAUAGAACUUAGCAUUGGAGUGGAAGUUUUAUUUUAGCACCAAAAAACACUUUUUGGUGUUAUAUUAUAGCAAUAUCAAUAGAAAUAUAACAUCUAGCAUUGGACUUGCUCUAAUAACUCAACAUAUCAAAAAGCAAUCCCACAGAAGACCCCUUUCCAAGAAAUGGCCAUCACCAGAGCAAAUCUACCACCUCUCCUACGCGCCGCCACCGCACUCCACCCUCCCCACAUCCCCCACCAGAACUCUCCGACGUCCUUUCUCCGCUCUCACCCUUCCAACAUCCUUAUUUCAAACCCCCACUUGUUCUCCACUUUCCUCUCCCGCCGCGUCCGUCCACGCGCCGCCGCGUAUCCGAACCCACAAAACCUCCCAACCAUAUCCAACCCUUUAAACCUCAGCAUUACAGAUCACCACUUGCUCUCCCGGAGCGUGCACACAAACGCCACCGCUCUUCACAACCGUCGAAGAACUUUGGCUUGCGCACCAACUUUCGGUUGCAUUGCAGCAGCAGGAGGGAUAACACUCUUGUUCAAAAAUCGAGAAAAACCAAGAAUGUUGGCAACCGAAACUGAUCAUCUGGAGUUGAGGUUUCAUGGCUUACUAGAUAUGUACCGUGAGGGACACGGCGUAGUCGUUGAGGUUCUGGUUCGACCUAUUGAGGAGAACAAAAUUAGUAAUGCAGCUGCUAAAAAUGUUGGAGCCAAAAUUCCUCUGGAGUUGUAUAUCUCAGCUACUGAGGUGUUAGUUAAGCAACAUCCUGUUCUCACCGCCAUGCAAAGGAAUUACACAAUUCUUGCAGCGAAACAGAUAUAUUCCAAGGACAAUGAUAAAAUUCUUGCAAAAACUAAAUGGUACUUGUCUUAAAUUUAAUCGUAUUUUUAGUUUAUUAAUUUUUUCUCUGUUUUUUUUUUUGCAAGAAAAGAUUGCCAUUUUGUUUGUGACAGUGAUAUGUUUUAAUUCACUUACACUUUGUAGCGGCGAAAUCAAAAUCUCAACCCCUGCCGAUGAUUUGUCCAAUUCAGAGUCUAAAAUAACUGUGUUCAAUUUAGACUCAAAAUUUGAAUCCAGAACCAUUCAACUUGUUUUAUUUACAUUCGAUAAAUUCCAAGACUUGCCAAAGUUGUUGGGAGAAGGACACUCAGUUUUUGUUAAGGGUUUUCUAAACCUAUCUUUGAAUUCGAUUAAGUCUGACGAGAUUAACACAGUUAGGUCAGACGAUAAUUGGCAUAGAAUUGUGAAAGGCAAAACUGAAAAAAUGGAAUAUCUCUUCUUAGCUGAGGCGAUAACAAAGGACGAUGAGAGGUAUAUGCCACGGGAAGGUGUUGCUGCUGCAGUUGGGCGGAAUACUGAGGAAUAAGAGAAAGGUCGUGGCAGAGAAGAAUGUGUAUCAAAUGUAUGUUUUAACAAACUUUGAUAAUGGUACAUGCCCAGAAUCUUUGCAGUUAUUGUAUGCCUAUUCUUUAAUAUUUGGUCUACGCACAAAGAAUUCCCAGCUUGAUUGUACUCGAAAAGAUUUCUCAACUCUCAUGUAGUAAACAACAGUUCUAGGUAUAAAGAAGGCAUUUCUCUGAAUUAUCUGAUGGUUGAUUUUGUUGCAAAUUUUUUGUGUCCAUAAUUGAGGGAGUAAAAUGCAAAGUGUGUACCUGUAGUUACGCACUUGUGCAGUUUGUGUACCUCUGCUUUCGAAUCUAGCGGAGUGUGUACCUGUGGUUCCAAGAUUCCAGCGUUACGUGUGUUUCUGUUAAAAACCAUCUAACGGCGUUAGUAUUGGAGGGACAUCACGAGUAAUUGUGGGACUAUAUACCUGUGUGUAGGGGUGUAAACGAGCCGAGCCGAGUCGAACACUGCCAGGCUCGGCUCGAGUUCGACUGAAAAGUUCGGGGCUCGAGCUCGAGUUCGAGUUCGACCGAGCCUUUAAUUUCAAGUUCGAAACUCGGCUCGUAAAUAGUUCGAUAGGCUCGAGUUCGGCUCGAAAGCUCGAAUCAAGUUACCAAAUAUUGACAAAAACUCGAAAUAUGAUCGGUUCGACUCGAGUUCGAUUCGAUUAAAUAUAUAAAUUAUAAAUAAAAUAUUGAAUAUAUUUGUAAAAAUAUAUUUAUAAUAAAAAAAUUAAAAAAUAAUAGAGGCUGAUCGAUAAGGCUCGCGAACCUUACGAGCCGAGUAAUUUGAAGCUCGAGCUCGGCUCGGUAAAACAUUCGAAUAGCUCGAGCUCGAGCUCGGCUCGAUUAUUACCGAAUCGAAUUCGAAUAUUUUCCAAGCCGAACUCGAGUAGCUCACGAAUAGUUUGGUUUGUUUACACCCCUACCUGUGUGUAUGUACUGCAUGUCUCCCGUUCUUGUUUCAAGCCAGCAGCUCAUUAAAACUCACUUAAAUAAACAGGACAUGCAAAGUUUUCGUCUACAUGUACAUGAUAAUUUUCAUCUUUUUAUACACGUAAAUAUAUACUUUACUCUCCUCCCAUCUAAUUUCUUUGCGAUUGUUAAAAAUUAUUAUUUUACGUGUGUAUAUAUAUAAUAUAAUUUCAUACUUAUUUUGAUAAUUUCUUUUUAUAAAUAUUAAUAAAAUUAAGUUUUUAUUCAGAAAAAAAAAUUAAAAUAAUUUAUAAACUACUAUAUUUUAUAAGAAUAUUAAAAUGUGUGUCAAGUCCGUCCAAAAUAAACNNNNNNNNNNNNNNNNNNNNNNNNNNNNNNNNNNNNNNNUCUUUCCCUCCCCUUUGUAUACAGUUGUAUACAUUAGGAUAGGGACGUGGGACUUAUUUUAAUGUUGCCGAAAAAUAUAGUUAUAUAACUUAUUUUUAAUCAUUAUUUUUCAGAAUAAAAAAUUAAUAUUUAAAUUUUUAUUCAGAAAAAUAAUUUAAAAACAAGUUACAAAAUUAUAUUUUAUAGUGAGUAUUAAAGUGAGUUCCAAGUAAUGAAAAAUAUAUUAUUCUUUAUUAUAUAUAUAUAUAUAAUUAUAUAUUGUAAAAAUGUUACUCAAUCGUAUUUAAUAAGAAGUUUUUUAAAAAUUGUCACAUAAAUAUAAUAGGUAUUUAUCUAUUAUCAUAUUAUCCACAAAAAAAUAAUAUUUGUAAUACCUUUUUAUGAAAUAUAUAUUUGUAAUUAGGAAUUGAGAUUCAAAAAUAUAACAAACAUAAUUACUACUCUCUUCGUCUCUCUGAUUAUUUAUAUUUGAGAACAGGUAUUUAACACGUAUUUUAAAGCUUAUAUAGAGAGCAAUUUCAAUAAUUAUAUAUUUUUUUCUGUAUUCAUUAACCUUUUUUUUUUUUGCAAAUUGCCUCAGUAAUAUAAUAGGUAUAUUAUAUACAUUAUUAUCAUAAGUUUUACAACAAAAUUAAUAUUUGUAAAUAUUAUUUGGUCAAAAUAAAUCUUUGUAAUUAGAAAUUGGGAUCCACAAAUAUAAUAUACAUAAUUACUCUCUUUCUAUCCUCCUAAUUUUAUUUUGGGGUACGGGUUCAACAUGUAUUUUAAAAUUUUAAUAAAAAAUAAUUUCAGAGAUUAUGUUUAUCUAAAAAAGUUAAUUUUUAAAUAUUUACAAAAAAAACAGAAAAGAAAAGGAAACCUUGCUUUUGCUUUUCUCGUUUGAUCGACAGAGCAGAGGACAUACGAACAGAUACAGUCGCUAGCCACAAAAUUACCACUGCUGCCCCUCAUGCACUAACUCUGUUAAGUUAUUUUUAACGGAAGUACACACUUUGCUAGAAUCUGAAAACUAGAGGUACACACUUUGCUAGAUUCACAAAAUGAGGUACACAAAAUGCACAUGUGUGUAACUACAGGUACACAUGUUGCAUUUUACUCAUCCAUAAUUCUAAAAACCGUUGAUUUGACAUAUUAAUCGCUACAAAGUGCUGAUCUGCUAAUUCGAUUUUUCAAAUUCAGUUAACUACGACAUAUUUUUCUCAAGAUAAUAAAUAUGAUUAAUUUAAAAUUUAGUUGUAAUGGGUGAUUAGCUAGAAACAACAAAAAAAUUGAUUAAAAAUGAAUCAAAAUUUAUUGAUUGGUUAAAUGAAUAUGGUUAAAAUAUUUAAUUUGCAUAUUGUUAACAUUUGAUUUAGGAGUGACUUAUUUUUUUCUGAUUGGUGAACUGCUGGGAAAGUUGGAAAGGAAUAUUAUUGGUCUAAAAUUUAGGAGUGAUUUUUGUUUGAUCCUGAAAUAAUUUUUUUUCUGAUUGGUUUACUAGAUACAAUGGUAGACUCAGGUAUUAUAAUAAAAAAUAUAUGUUUUUAAUUUGAUGUACGUAAGAUUAUGCAUUCCAAAAAUAAGUUUUUAUCUAACAAAAUCAUAAAUAUAAUAAGUUUAAUUUCACGUAAAAUUUCAAGUUUAUACAAACUUUAAAAUAUUUAUUGUAUGAUAUAACUAAUAUAUAUAUAUAUAUAGUAAAAAUAAUAUUUACUUAGAGUAUCAUGAACCGAGUAGUUUGAUAUUUGAGCUCAUUUAAUAAAAUAAAAAAAUACUCAAGUUCAAAUUUAAUAAAAUUAAUCUCUUCAUCUCAUUUUAACUGAAUUUUGAUUUUUGAUACUUAUAUUUAUUUUUUAUGAAUUUUAUAAAAUAUAAUUGUGUUCAGGUUUAAUUUUUUAACACUUUAGAACACAUAUAAAAAAAUCAAAAGCAAUUAUAAUACAAUUGAGGAAUAUUCGUUAUUAAUUUGUACAUAAUGUUAUUUAGGGCGGAGUAAUUUGCUGCUUGGCUAAAGAAAAAUGAUGAUAUCAAUUAUUAGGGAAACCACAAUAGAUUUUUCUUUUUUGCAUGCUAAAAUCUUGUAAACAUACGAUUAUCUCGAUAUUCAGUUUUGGAUGAAUGUCCGACGACUAGUAUUAUAAUAAAAUUUUAAUCUAUAUAAUGUUUUCUAAUAAGUGCACGUCGAAUAUGACUCCGUCCAACAAGCUCAAUGAAUUCACAUAUAAUAGUUAAAAAAUAUGAUAUUUAUUAAUAUUUUUAAUAUUGAUUCUCAUCACUUAAUAUUCAUUCAACGGACAUGAACAUCUGUGUUAUUUCACAUAUUCGUCGCAAUUGUAUGUCAUGACAGUUACCCAAAAGAGAAACGCUUCAGGCAUGAAUCAUGAUAUUAAGGCUGUACAUUGCCACUUUCAUGAAUAUAUGCACAAUUCACAGUUCGUAUCAAGGGUAAACUUGGGUACAAAAUUAAGCUACUAAAAUGCAGCCACAUAGGCUAGCACCUUGGUUUGCUUUAAAAUGUAGAAAUCUUGUUUUCAUGUGGACCCUUGGAUGUUCGAUCCCAUGGCUGGACAAUUUCAAAUGUUUAACCUGGGGCUGUGACAAAAUAUAUAUAUAACUGAAUAUGACGAAAUAACAAUAAUAACCCCUAUGACAUAUAUAUACCUCACACACAGUAAAAAGCCCAUACUUUUGUAUCAAAUUUUCAGACAGCCUUUACCUAGAAACUCAAAAUAUCAGACAGCAAUCCCACCGACCCCUUUCGAAGAAAUGGCAAUCACCAAAGCAAAUCUUCCACCUCUCCUACGCGCCGCCACCGCACUCCACCCUCCCCACUACCACCACAACUCUCUGACGUCCUUUCUCCGCUCUCACCCUUCCAACAUCCUUAUUUUAAACCCCCACUUGUUCUCCACCUUCCUUCACCGCCGCGUCCGUCCACGCGCCACCGCGUUUCCCAACCCUAUAAGCCUCAGCAUUUCAAAUCACCACUUGGUCUCCCGGAGCGUGCACACACACGCCACCGCUCUUCACAAGCGUCGAAGAACUUUCCACAUCUUGGAUUACGCUCUAGCCUUCGGUUGCAUUGCAGCAGGAGGGAUAAUACUCUUCUACAAAAAUCGAGAAAAACCAAGAAUGUUCGCAACCGUAACUGAUAAUCUGGAGUUCAGGUUUCACGGCUUAAUACCACACAUGUACCGUAAGGGGCACUACCUAGUCGUUGAGGGUCUGGCUCGACCUUUAAAGCAGAACAAUAUUAGUAAUGCAACUGCUAAAAAUCUUAGAGACCACAAAGGUCCUUUGGAACUCUAUAUGUCAGCUACUGAGGUGUUAGCUCAGCCUGAUCAUGUUGUCACCGCCUUCCAAAGGAAUUACACAAUUCUUGCAGUGAAGCAGAUAUAUUCCAAGGACAACGAUAAAAUUCUUGCAACAACUAAUCGGCACUCAUCUUAAAUUUAGUCGUAUUUUCAGUUUAUUAAUGUCUCUCUCCGUUUUGCAAGAAAAGAUUGUUAUUUUGUUUGUGACUUUGAUAUGUUUUGAUUUAGGCUUACUUCUUCCGUUGGUGAAAUCGGAAUCUCAACCCCUGUCGAUGAUUUGUCCAAGUUCGAGUCUAAAAAAAUUGAUUCCUUAGAGCAAGUCCAACACUAUGCUAAGAAGUUCCCUAAAAAUAUUAUAAAAUAAUAUGUCUUAGUGAUUUAGCACAAGAUUUAGCACAUGAGCUCCAAUAGUACUCCCUAUAUCCAUUCUUUAUUAUUAUAAUAAUAUUAAAUUUAAACAACUUCAUAGUGGAGGAGAGAGGGAAAUGAUGUGGGGGAGAGAGAGAAAUGAAUAUUUUAAUGAUAAAAAUAGUUUAAAAGUGGCUAGUAUAUUCUAAAAAUAGGGAAUGGGAGGUUUGUGCUAGUGAUUUAGCACAUCACUAGCAUAGUGUUGGAGUGCAAUUUUAUCCCAUAUUCCCUAUUUUUGGAUUUAAGACUUGAUUUAGCACACCUAUUGGACUUGCUCUUACUUACUCAACUUGUUUUAUUAAUGUUGGAUGAUUUUGAAGACUUGCCAAAAUUGUUGGGAGAAGGCCACUCGAAAUUUAUUAAGAGUCUUAUCGGCAUACCUUUGAAGUCGAUUAAGUUUGACGAGAUUGAGUGGAAUGAAGAUAAUUUGCCCAAAAAAGUGAAGGGCAAACCUCAAAAAACGGAACUCAUGUUAGCUGAGGCAAUAGCGAAGGACGAUGAGAGGUAUAUGCCACGGGAAGCUGCUGCUACCGCAAUUGAGCGGGAUACUGCGGAGUAACAGAAAGGCCAUGGCAGAGUAGAUUUCUUUAACUCUCUCAUACAGGAAACAGUUAUACGUAUAAACAAGGCAUUUCUCAGAAUUAUUUGCAAAUUUAAUCGUAUUAUUAGUUUAUAAAUGUCUUUCUCCGUUUUUUAAUAUUGCAAGAAAAGAUUGCCAUUUCGUUUGUGACUUUGAUAUGUUUUAAUUUACUUACAACUUCUAGCGGUGAAAUGAAAAUCUCAACCCUUGUGCUCGAGUUAGACUCAGAAUUUGAUUCCAGAAUUACUCAACUUGUUUUAUUUACAUUCGAUAAGUUCCAAGACUUGCCAAAAUUGUUGGGAGAAGGACACUCGAUUUUUAUUAAGGGUCUUGGCAACAUACCUUUGAAACCGAUUAAGUUUGACGGGAUUAACAAAAUUUUGCCAGACGAGUGGAAUGAAGAUAAUUGGCCUAAAAAAGUGAAUCGCAAAACUAAACAAAUGGGAUCAGUCAUGCUAGCUGAGGCAAUAGCAAAAGACGAUGAGAGGUAUUUGCCACGCGAAGCUGCUGCUACUGCAAUUGAGCGGAAUAAUGCGGAGUAACAGAAAGGCUGCAGCAGAGAAGAAUGGGAACGUAUCAGAUACAUUGUAGUCCUGGAUCAUUGCAGUUAUUUUAAUUGUGUCUAUUCUCUAAUAUUUGGUAUUUGCACAAAGACUUCCAAGCUUGAUUGUACUUGGAAAGAUUUCUUUAACUCUCAUAGCAGUUCUAGGUACAAAGAAUGCAUUUCUCUGAAUUAUUUGCAAAUUCUGGGUCCAUAAUUUAAAAAUCAUCAAUUUGACCUAUUAACCAAUACAUAUUUUGUUGAUUUGAUUUUUCAAAUCCAAUUAAUUAUAAUAUUUUUUUCUAAAAUUAAUAUAAUACGUCUAAUAAAGUCAAUAUUAUUAUUUACAUCCGGUUAAUGUUUUAAUUAGUUAUUAUUGUUAUUUUCAUUAAUAUCUAACUAUCGAUUAAUCACUAUACAAUAUCAGCGAUGACUUUCGAUUUUUGCUUUUUGAUUUUUACCGAGUUGAGGUGAUAUUCUAACACAUUAACAUAUAAUGGUAGUACUGUAAUUAGGGCUAAGCAUUCGGUCGGUUCAGUUAAGAACCGGAUCCAACCGAAAAAACCGAAAACCGAAUUAAUAAUUUUUUCUGAACCGAAUCGGAUCAAAAUUAUGUUAUGAACCGAAGCGCAACCGAAACGAAAUAGUUCGUUUCGGUUCUUACUCAAAGAACUGAAUUUUUCUUUAAAAAAAUGAAAUAACAAAUAGUUGGUGUGAGCAUAUAUGCCUGCAGAAGGGGAGAAGGAAACAAAAGGGUUAUCUAACAGUAUACAAAUAGAGAUUCUUCAACAAAUAACAAAAGAGUCUAGUAUAGGACACAAAAGGUAAGCCUGAACAGACUUCGGAAAUAUCAAUCUCCGAUUUGGAAAUUUAAAUCGAGAUUCUGAAAUUUUAAAAUUUGAUACGUAUGCUGAUUGAUGAUUGGAUUGAGGCUGGGUACUGGUGGGGGUGGGGGAUAUAUUUAGUACCGAGUGAAUUGCAUUUUGCAUCCUUUAUCUAUGGCCCAAAAACAAUUUUUGUAUAUGUACUUUUCAAAAUUGCAUUUUGCAUCCCAUAUGUUUCAAAUCCGAUACAAGCUGCACCAUCAAUCGGUUUUAGCAUCCAAUUGAGACGUUAACGUUAAGUUUUUUAAGGGUAUAAUAGGCUUUACACAUUUCAACGGUUAUAUUAUUAUGUAUAUAUAAGCUCUUUACAUCUUAACUCUAAUUAUGUUUCUUCUUAUAAGUGAUUAUCUUCAUAUAAUUGCACCUAGGGUCUGUUUGGGAGUGCUGUUAAAAAUUGCUGUGCUGUCAGAAAAAGUGCUGGUAAAAUAAGUGCUGUUGUAGAAAUCAUAUAACUGUUUGGUAAUUUUUUGAUAUUACUUAUUUUGAGUUAUAAUAUAAAAAAAAAUAAUGUUUUUGGUGAGGUUUUAUAAUUAAAUCUAUAACAGCAUUCUGCAAAAGCUGAAAAGCAGCUUUUUCCAAAAGCAUGGGAGGACCUGCUUUUUCUAACAGCAGCUUUUCAGCUAAAAGCUGCUGUUCAGAAAAGCUGCUUUUCGAUUUACCAAACAGUUUUUCACCUGCUUUUCAGCAAAAAGCUGCUGUUGCUGUCUGCAACAGCAACCCCAAACAGUACCCUAGUAUGUUCUGUUCAAUGAACUGAGAGUUUGUAUUUACAGAGUUGUGGAGAAAGCUGCGCAAGUAUACCAGUAUGGAAUGGGGGUGACAAGUUUCGCGUCACAAUGUCAGCGGGGGUCGUGAUAUUAUUGUAAACCUAGCUGAAAAGACUUGUGCAUACCUAAAGUGGCAAUAAUAUAACCGUUUAAAUGUAUAAAGCCUAUUAUACUUUUAAAAAACUUAACGUUAACGACUUAAUUGGAUGCUAAAACGGAUUGAGGAUGUAGCUUGUAUGGGUUUUGAGACAUACGGAAUGAAAAACGCAAUUUUGGAAAGUAGGUAUACAGAAUUGUUUUUUGAUUAUAAAUAAGGGAUGCAAAAUGCAAUUCACUCUUUAAUAUAUUUUAUUAAUUUUAUUAAUAUAAAUAGUUUGGUUCUUUCGGUCUGAAACUGAAUUUUUUUCAAAAGGAAUGGACCGGACUGAACCGAAAUUUAUUUCGGUCUGGACCGAAAACCGAAAAUCCGAAUUUCUGGAAAAGAAAAAAGGAACCGGAUCAGAUCGAAUUUUCGGUCUGGACCGAAAACCGAAAAACCCGAAUAUCUGGAAAGGAAAAAAGGAACCGGAUCACAAUUCGUUCACUGUAGUAGUAUUUGGAGGUAGUUUUGCUUUUAACUAGAAUAACUAGAAGGUAAAGACUGAAUACGCAAAAUCGAAUAGAGUUGGUUGCAGCUUGGAAAACUAGAAAGUAAAAGCAAGACUUACCAGGACUAAAGAUGUGUGAUUUGACCGCACCUGACAAAUAAGAUUUGGGAGAUAAAUCUUGGCCAUUGCCCAUUGCCCAUUGCCCAUUGCCCAUUGCCCAUUGGGAUUAAAAACAGUGUUUGAUUUUAAUACACAAAAUCAAGGUCGUCAAAAUCGAAAAUUGGUUCAGCUCAGUUUGAUUCAAGAAAAAUGAGUACUCGGAAUUCGAGAGAGUACUCGAAAUUGUUAUCGGAUAAUUAAUCGGGUAUUUUUUAAAUUAAUUUUUUCUCUCAUAUAUAGUUAUGUACUGAUUAAUAAUAAAACUAUCUAAUAAUAUUAAUAUUUUAAUAACACACUGAAAUAAUGAAGUUCAAAUAAAAGUUACUUGUUUGAUAGUUCCGACAUAAUAAUCAUUCACAAGUUUUAAUGAUAAAACACAUAUACUUUCUAAUUAAUGUCAAUACUUUGCAAAAAAAAGAAGACCAAAACAUAUAUAAAUUUACGUUUAGUCUCUUUUGAAAUUAUUUUCAAAUAAAACAAUUAAAAAUUGAUAAGUCAAACUCGGAUUUGACCUCGAGGACUCGGAGUCAAGCCGAGUUUUGACCAAUUUUUCAAUAAAUCGGUUUUAAACCCGAUUAAUCGGAACUCAGAUCGGACGAGGGGUUAAAAACGAGUACUCGGAAUGAGUACUCGACUGACUUAGCGAUUUUUAGAACACCGCACAAAAUACAAAAUUAUAAAGUAGAUGCGCAUUGGGUGAUAUUAAUGAACCCUUCACUUUAACACAAAAACACUUUUGAGUUUUGAGUAACUUCUGUGACCUAUACCAUACUUUUGUAUCAAAUUUUCAGACAGCCUUCACCUAAUAACUCAACAUAUCAGACAGCAAUCCCACCGACCCCUUUGGAAGAAAUGGCUAUCACCAGAGCAAAUCUUCCACCUCUCCUACGCGCCGCCACCGCACUCCACCCUCCCCACAUCCCCCACCACAACUCUCCGACGUCCUUUCUCCGCUCUCACCCUCCCAACAUCAUUAUCCCAAACCCCCACUUGUUCUCCACCUACCUUCACCGCCGCGUCCGUCCACGCGCCACCGCGUAUCCCAACCCUUUAAACCUCAGCUUUUCAAAUCAACACUUGGUCUCCCGAAGCCUGCACACACGCGCCAUCGCUCUUCACAAGCGUCGAAGAAAUGACGACAUCUUGCGUUACGCUCUAAUUUUCGGUGGCAUUGCAACAGCAGGAGGGAUUAUGAUCCUGUUGUACAAAAUGGAAAAAAAACCAAGAAUGUUCACAACCGUAAAUCGUAAUCUGGAGCUGAGGUUUUUCGGCUUCAUACCAGAUAUGUACCGUAAGGGACACGGCGUAGUCGUUGAGCUUCUGGCUCGACCUUAUGUUAAAAAUGUUAGAGCCCAAGGUCCUUGGGAAUUCUAUAU
Molecule: long non-coding RNA, 13802 nt
Filed under: Daucus carota (carrot)
Lineage: Eukaryota; Viridiplantae; Streptophyta; Magnoliopsida; Apiales; Apiaceae
Description: long non-coding RNA (DCAR_LNC002940)
Source: RNAcentral